GUGAACGUGGUGUUUAACUCCCAGAGGCUAAACGUUUGUUGGUACUCUAUCAUCGAGGUGUAGGUUCGAAUCCUACCGUCCACG
RNAcentral lists this transfer RNA (84 nucleotides) under Enterococcus ureilyticus. RNAcentral describes it as "tRNA-Ser". Lineage: Bacteria; Bacillati; Bacillota; Bacilli; Lactobacillales; Enterococcaceae. The record is from RNAcentral.